Molecule: ribosomal RNA, 253 nt
Filed under: uncultured bacterium
Lineage: Bacteria
Description: partial 16S ribosomal RNA
Rfam family: Bacterial small subunit ribosomal RNA
Source: RNAcentral
UACAGAGGUGGCAAGCGUUGUUCGGAAUUACUGGGCGUAAAGGGCGCGUAGGCGGCCAUCUAAGUCAGACGUGAAAUCCCCCGGCUCAACCUGGGAACUGCGUCUGAUACUGGAUGGCUUGAAUCCGGGAGAGGGAUGCAGAAUUCCAGGUGUAGCGGUGAAAUGCGUAGAUAUCUGGAGGAAUACCGGUGGCGAAGGCGGCAUCCUGGACCGGCAUUGACGCUGAGGAGCGAAAGCUAGGGGAGCAAACGGG